RNAcentral lists this long non-coding RNA (254 nucleotides) under Brassica napus (rape). Its description in RNAcentral is "long non-coding RNA (BNAP_LNC023142)". The record is from RNAcentral. Lineage: Eukaryota; Viridiplantae; Streptophyta; Magnoliopsida; Brassicales; Brassicaceae.
UGAUAAUAGAGUUACCGGAAGAGUGGCUCUGAUACCACUUGAAGAACCCUAGGAAACGCUACUCAACCGGUAAGGGGGAUAUGAACUCCGAAAGGAGAACUGGUGGGAUGAAUGACGACACAAGGGGCUGCGGAAUGACCCAAUGAUACUGUCUAAGUGUCUUUCAACGCCUGAUAUGACUCACAGGUCCGUUGGAGAGACGAUCUCGAUCUGUUGCCGGAUGUGACGCACCGGUCCAACAAGAAAGAGGUGUU